CCUACGGGUGGCUGCAGUGGGGAAUAUUGGACAAUGGGGGGAACCCUGAUCCAGCCAUGCCGCGUGUGUGAAGAAGGCCCUCGGGUUGUAAAGCACUUUCAGUGAGGAAGAACGCCUGGUGGUUAAUACCCAUCAGGAAAGACAUCACUCACAGAAGAAGCACCGGCUAACUCCGUGCCAGCAGCCGCGGUAAUACGGAGGGUGCGAGCGUUAAUCGGAAUUACUGGGCGUAAAGCGCGCGUAGGUGGCUUGAUAAGCCGGUUGUGAAAGCCCCGGGCUCAACCUGGGAACGGCAUCCGGAACUGUCAAGCUAGAGUGUAGGAGAGGAAGGUAGAAUUCCCGGUGUAGCGGUGAAAUGCGUAGAGAUCGGGAGGAAUACCAGUGGCGAAGGCGGCCUUCUGGACUGACACUGACACUGAGGUGCGAAAGCGUGGGUAGCAAACAGGAUUAGAUACCCCUGUAGUC
RNAcentral lists this ribosomal RNA (465 nucleotides) under Vreelandella stevensii. RNAcentral's name for it is "partial 16S ribosomal RNA". It matches the Rfam family "Bacterial small subunit ribosomal RNA", at positions 338 to 795 of the family's 1533-position model. Lineage: Bacteria; Pseudomonadati; Pseudomonadota; Gammaproteobacteria; Oceanospirillales; Halomonadaceae. The record is from RNAcentral.